Molecule: long non-coding RNA, 2434 nt
Organism: Danio rerio (zebrafish)
Lineage: Eukaryota; Metazoa; Chordata; Actinopteri; Cypriniformes; Danionidae
Source: Ensembl
CUCCUUUAAAAUCAUUCAGAUACACCAUCGACAUAAAGGUUAAUGCUUUAAAUAAAGCUGUGAUCAACUGUUUGAGGGCGACAAUCAGUGGACAGAAAUUUCCAAUUUGUGUCAAGAAAGGCAUGAAAAUAUCCAGUACAAACAUCACUACAGGUGAGAGAAAUAGGAGAAGAGUAAUGAUAUUCUGUCCACAUUCAUCUGACAAAUAAUUUUCCUAUUUGUUCUUUUUUUAUUCAUUCAUUCAUUUUCUUUUUCGGCUUAGUUUCUUUAUUAAUCUUGGAGCGCAACAGCGGAAUGAGCCACCAACUUAUCCAGCACAUGUUUUACGCAGCGGAUGCCCUUCCAGCUGUAACCCAUCUCUAGGAAGCAUCCAUACACACUUAUUCACACUCAUACACUACGGACAAUUUAGCCUGCCCAAUUCACCUGUACCGCAUGUCUUUGGACUGUGGGGGAAACCGGAGCACAUGGAGAAAACCCAUGCGAACGCGGGGAGAACAUGCAAACUCCACACAGAAACACCAACUGACCCAGCUAAGGCUCUAACCAGCGACCUUCUUGCUAUGAGGCGAUAGCACUACCUACUGCGCCACCGCGUCACUGUUAGUUCUUUAUUUAUUUUAAUGAAUUGUAUUUUUGUUUGUGUGUUUGUUUUGCAGUGUGUCUCUCAAAUUCAAGCCAGACCAAAUGCAGCUGUGAGAAUCAGUACAUCUGGUCCUCUGAACAAUGCUCUAAACAUGGCGAUUGUGGUUCAAUUCAAAGUAACACAUGUGGAUGCAUCACUUCUCUUCCAACUGAUGGGUCAUUCUGUCGGCCACCAAGAGCUCAACUAAAAUCAUUCAGAUACACCAUUGACAUAAAAGUUAAUGCUUCAAAUAAAGCUGUGAUCGACCGUUUGAGGGCGUUGAUGAGUGGACAGAAAUUCCCAAUGUGUGUCAAGAAAGGCAUUGAAGUCUCCAGUGCAAACAUCACUACAGUUUGUCUCUCAAAUUUAAGCAAAACUGAGUGCAGAUGUGAGAAUCAGUACAUCUGGUCUUCUGAACAAUGCUCUAAACAUGGCGUUUGUGGCUCUGGUCAGAACUAUACAUGUGGAUGCAUCACUUCUCUUCCAACUGAUGGAUCAUUCUGUCGUCCACCAACUGCUUAUCUAAAAUCAUUCAGAUACACGACUGACAUAAAAAUCAAUGCUUCAAGAGUUGUUGUGAUUGAUCGUUUGAGGACAUUGAUCCAAGAACAAAAAUUCCCAAUGUGCAUCAAGAAAGGAGUGAAAAUCUCCAGUGCAAACAUCACUACAGUUUGUCUUUCAAAUUCAAGCAAAACCGAGUGCAGCUGUGAGAAUCAGUACAUCUGGUCCUCUGAACAAUGCUCCGAACAUGGCAUUUGUGGCUCUAGGGAAAAUAAUACAUGUGAAUGCAUCUCAUCUCUUCCAUCGCAUGGGUCAUUCUGUCAUCCACCAUCUGCUCAACUCAUGUCAUUCAGAUACACCAUUGACAUAAAAAUCAAUGCUUCAAGUCAUGUUGUGAUGGACCGUUUGAGAGCAUCAGUUCAUUUGGAACAAAAAUUCCAAAUGUGUAUUAAGAAAGGCAUGAAAAUAUCCAGUCUAAACAUCACUAUAGGCUGUCCUGCACCUACAACCAUCCCAAGCACAACCCCAAGUGUACCUACACCAUCUACAAUAUCAAUGCCAGCAUCAACAAGCAUCACAGCAGAUAUUACAAGCCAAUCAACACUGAUCCCAAACACACCUGACAUUGAUACAACAACAACAACAACAACAAUAAGCAGUCCAGAACCUACCAGAACUACAACUGCAGAAAUUACACUUGUUACAAGCAUUUCAACCCUAAUCCCGGACACAACUGAUAGUUCAGCAACUCCAGCUCCUACUACAACAGAAGAAACUACAAUUAUGACAAGCCCUCCAACUCUGUUCCCAAACACAAUGGAGAAUUCAACAGUAACAAGCACUACAACAUCUACUACAACAGAAGACAUUACAAUUAUAACAAGCCCUUCAACUCCGAUCCCAAACACAACUGAGAGUUCAACAAUAACAAGCACACCAGCACUUACUACAACAGAAGAAACUACAAUUAUUACAAGCCUUUCAACUUCGAUCCCAAACACAACUGAGAGUUCAACAUUAACAAGCACACCAGCACCUACUUUAAAAGAAGAGACUACAGUUAUUAUAAGCCUUCCAACUCCGAUCUCAAACACAACUGAGACUUCAACGAUGACAAGCACUACAGCAUCUAGUACAGUUAUUACACCCCUUAUUCCAAACACAACUGAAAGUACAACGGUAGAAACUACAGAUAUGACAAGCCUUUCAACAAUUCCAAACACAACUGAAAGUUCAACAGUUACAAGUGUUUCAACUUCAACAGCAGAAACAAGUAGGUCUUUGUGACAUUUUACUCUGAGCUUACAG